GCAAGAUUAAAACUCAAAGGAAUAGACGGGGACCCGCACAAGCGGUGGAGCAUGUGGUUUAAUUCGACGAUACGCGAAGAACCUUACCUGGCCUUGACGUAGAAAGAACUUACUAGAGAUAGUUUGGUGCUAGCUUGCUAGAACUUUCAUACAGGUGCUGCACGGCUGUCGUCAGCUCGUGUCGUGAGAUGUUGGGUUAAGCCCCGCAACGAGCGCAACCCUCGUGUUUAGUUACUAACAGUUCGGCUGAGGACUCUAGACAGACUGCCUGGGUAACCAGGAGGAAGGUGAGGACGACGUCAAGUCAUCAUGGCCCUUACGGCCAGGGCUACACACGUGCUACAAUGGGGUAUACAAAGAGCCGCAAUACCGCGAGGUGGAGCAAAUCUCAUAAAAUAUCUCCCAGUUCGGAUUGAAGUCUGCAACUCGACUUCAUGAAGUUGGAAUCGCUAGUAAUCGGAUAUCAGCCAUGGUCCGGUGAAUACGUUCCCGGGCCUUGUACUCACCGCCC
RNAcentral lists this ribosomal RNA (511 nucleotides) under uncultured Campylobacterota bacterium. RNAcentral describes it as "bacterial SSU rRNA". It matches the Rfam family "Bacterial small subunit ribosomal RNA", at positions 888 to 1395 of the family's 1533-position model. The record is from RNAcentral. Lineage: Bacteria; Pseudomonadati; Campylobacterota.